RNAcentral lists this ribosomal RNA (479 nucleotides) under uncultured bacterium. Its description in RNAcentral is "partial 16S ribosomal RNA". It matches the Rfam family "Bacterial small subunit ribosomal RNA", at positions 28 to 506 of the family's 1533-position model. The record is from RNAcentral.
GAUGAACGCUGGCGGCGUGCCUAACACAUGCAAGUCGAACGGAGAUUACGGACGGAAGUUUUCGGAUGGAAGCCUGUAAUUCUUAGUGGCGGACGGGUGAGUAACGCGUGGGCAACCUGCCCUAUACAGGGGAUAGCAGCUGGAAACGGCUGGUAAGACCGCAUAAGUCGGUUAAAUCGCAUGAUUUGAUCGGGAAAUGAGCAAUCAGGUAUAGGAUGGGCCCGCGUCCGAUUAGCCAGUUGGCAGGGUAAAAGCCUACCAAAGCGACGAUCGGUAGCCGGACUGAGAGGUCGGACGGCCACAUUGGGACUGAGACACGGCCCAAACUCCUACGGGAGGCAGCAGUGGGGGAUAUUGCACAAUGGAGGAAACUCUGAUGCAGCGACGCCGCGUGAGUGAAGAAGUAUUUCGGUAUGUAAAGCUCUAUCAGCAGGGAAGAUGAUGACGGUACCUGACUAAGAAGCCCCGGCUAACUACGU